AUUGAACGCUAGCGGGAUGCUUUACACAUGCAAGUCGAACGCGUCGCGGACGGGUGAGUAAUCUAUCGGACCUUCCCCAAUAGCGGGGGAUAACUCCUCGAACGAGUGGCUAAUCCCGCAUACUAUUGGAUCGGCCGUUAUUGGAUUAGCUAGUUGGUGGGGUAAAGGCUCACCAAGGCAACGAUCCGUAGCUGGUUUGAGAGGACGACCAGCCACACUGGGACUGAGACACGGCCCAGACUCCUACGGGAGGCAGCAGUGGGGAAUCUUGGACAAUGGGGGAAAGCCUGAUCCAGCAAUCCCGCGUGUAUGAGAAGGCCUUCGGGUUGUAAAGUACUUUUGGCAGAGAAGCGGUAUCUGAAGAAUAAGCACCGGCUAACUACGUGCCAGCAGCCGCGGUAAUUC
RNAcentral lists this ribosomal RNA (405 nucleotides) under uncultured bacterium. RNAcentral's name for it is "partial 16S ribosomal RNA". It matches the Rfam family "Bacterial small subunit ribosomal RNA", at positions 30 to 526 of the family's 1533-position model. The record is from RNAcentral.